GUUAAGACUACUUGUUGAGGGCCUG
This 25-nucleotide non-coding RNA is filed under the name Cricetulus griseus (Chinese hamster). Lineage: Eukaryota; Metazoa; Chordata; Mammalia; Rodentia; Cricetidae. The record is from RNAcentral.